Molecule: non-coding RNA, 2060 nt
Organism: Styela clava
Lineage: Eukaryota; Metazoa; Chordata; Ascidiacea; Stolidobranchia; Styelidae
Source: RefSeq, a predicted model, not a curated record
AGAGUAGAAUAACCGUACGUUAUUGAUACGCUGCGACCAAAGUGACUAUAACACUUUAUAGUCAAUUUGGCUGCGACAGAGUAAAGGGACAGGAUUCGAAUAUUUAACCCAGCGGACAGUACCUCUAAUCUGUGAAGGAGUGUGGAAGAUGCGUUUCCCCAAGCUACGAUACCAUAUUGAAGAUAUGAUUGAAAGAGAGAAAAAUAAACUAAUCGCAUAGCUGAUGGGAGUUCAUGUGUAUUUGCAAAUCAUUUGGCGAGACUGAACUUCCAAAUAACCCGGUAUCGUCAGCGAAGAGUUUGACCAAUAAUCUGGUGGCAUGAGGAAGAUCGUUGACGAAUAAUACGAACAUUAAUAGGCCAAUUAUUGUGCCCUGGGGAAUUCCGCAUUGUACGCAUGCAUCCGCAUUCAAAGUUGAUUUAUAAUCGUCACUUUGUACCCAUUAAAUUUUGUAACGUGGCGAUCCACAUAGUUUUAUGGUAUUAGUUUGAGAAACAAUUAAUCAUUUUAAAUUUAGAUAAAUUUAGUGAAAAUUCCUGACAAAAAUAACCAAGUCAUACCAAAGGUUUAACCGUUAGGUGGCGACAGCGUAAGGUUUAGUUCGUUUUCCUUGAUUGGCCAGGUGCGGUAUUUGUCAGCUUUUAGCUUUGUUACGGUACCGGCACCGAAAUUCAAGGCAUGGUAGGUGUUUUUCUGAUUUUUGUCUAAUUCUUUAAAAAUUUUGUUUUUGAUAUUAAAUGCUUAUAAUGGAUAAAUUUAAAAUAUAUGUUGAAUGGUAUAAUGUUUUCAAUGGUCACUGGAUGUUAUGUCAUGGAUACUUGGAUUAUCAUUACAUGAAUGUGGACACAAUUUAAAUUGGAUUUCUGAACUAAUAUGGGUAAAUGUAUCUGGUUUGUUUAAAAUUUAUCAUUAUUCAUCUAUGUAAUGUAUACUUAUAUGAUCUAUAAUAUCACCUAAAUUACCUGGAAAAUUGGGAUUCAUGCAACUAAAUUUAAAUAAUAUAUUUGGAUAAACCAAAACUAUCAAUAUCAUAAAUCCGAAUUAGCAAUGGAUUUAAAUUUGGCAAAAAAAAAAAAAUCCAAGGCAAAUCAAAUAAGCAAUUAGCUACAUUAUUUUGGGAGAGUUUCAGAUACCGGCAUGACAUAACGGUAUCGUACUUCUCGAACCAGACUCCCAAGACGGUUUGAGUUACGAUCCAGUCUGGAUUUCAUGGCCUUUUUCAACGAGAAAUCGGGCCUAAAUUCCCGCGUGCAAAUCAGAAUUCCUGGCGUGCAAAACCACUUGCGCCCGCGUGCAACUGGCUUUGACUUUAGUAGCGUACUGUCAGACUGUUCAAUAACUCCGCGUAAAAUUAUUGGAUAAAAAAUACGUUGAGUCAGAGCAAAAAUGGACGUUUAACCUUUUACUCCCAAACUUUAUUUCUAUACUUUGUCAUUAAUUUUGAGAGUGUUUGUGCGACUUUGGAUACAGGUACUGUUAAGUACAUUCAUGUAAAAUUAUUGAAUAAAACUACGUUGAAUCAGAGAAAAAUGACGCCUGACCUUUGCCCCCAAACAUCAUUUCUAUACAUUGUCAUUAAUCUUGAAAGUGUUUGUGCAACUUUAGAUACCAUUACUGUUCGAAAAAAAUACGUUGGAUCAAAGCAAAAAUGGUCAUUUGACCUUUGACCCCCCAACAUUAUUUCUAUACUUUGACAUUACCUUCGGGAGUGUUUUUGCAUAAAAAUAUUGGAUAAACAAUACGCCGAAUCAUAGCCUUAACUGACAAGCGUCUGCAAGGAGUCUGGUGAUCUUUUCAUCAAUACCUAUACUCACGGGAUUCCUAUCAUUCAACAUGAUGCACCAUACGGCCGAGCAAUUAUGAAAUGUUUUUUUUUUUGAUCAGGCCAAAUCUUGCAAGCUAGUAUGUAGUCAACAAUUGUGAAGCUAUAAUUUGUUGGCAUUGUAGGAUACAAAGAUUAUACCGUUUUUCAUUGGUGAGCAACUGCAAAUUUUCAGCGUGCAAGAUUGAAUUCGCUCGCAUGCGAGUUCAGGUUGUGCGUCAUCUUGGUGAGCAUGCUU